This 748-nucleotide ribosomal RNA is filed under the name uncultured Peptoniphilus sp. RNAcentral's name for it is "bacterial SSU rRNA". It matches the Rfam family "Bacterial small subunit ribosomal RNA", at positions 28 to 776 of the family's 1533-position model. Lineage: Bacteria; Bacillati; Bacillota; Tissierellia; Tissierellales; Peptoniphilaceae. The record is from RNAcentral.
GACGAACGCUGGCGGCGCGCUUAACACAUGCAAGUCGAGCGAUGAAAUUUCGACAGAACCCUUCGGGGUGAAGAUGAAAUGGAUUAGCGGCGGACGGGUGAGUAACACGUGAGUAACCUGCCUUAGACAUUGGGAUAGCCUCGGGAAACCGGGAUUAAUACCAAAUGAAAUCACAUAUGCACAUGCAUAAAUGAUCAAAGCUCCGGCGGUCUAAGAUGGACUCGCGUCCCAUUAGCUAGUCGGUGAGGUAACGGCCCACCAAGGCGACGAUGGGUAGCCGGCCUGAGAGGGUGAACGGCCACAUUGGAACUGAGAAACGGUCCAAACUCCUACGGGAGGCAGCAGUGGGGAAUAUUGCACAAUGGAGGGAACUCUGAUGCAGCGACGCCGCGUGAACGAAGAAGGCUUUCGAGUCGUAAAGUUCUUUUAUAUGGGAAGGUAAUGACGGUACCAUAAGAAAAAGCCCCGGCUAACUACGUGCCAGCAGCCGCGGUAAUACGUAGGGGGCUAGCGUUGUCCGGAAUCACUGGGCGUAAAGGGUUCGCAGGCGGAAAUGUAAGUCAGGUGUAAAAGGCAGUAGCUUAACUACUGUAAGCAUUUGAAACUGCAUAUCUUGAGAAGAGUAGAGGUAAGUGGAAUUUUUAGUGUAGCGGUGAAAUGCGUAGAUAUUAAAAAGAAUACCGGUGGCGAAGGCGACUUACUGGGCUCAUUCUGACGCUGAGGAACGAAAGCGUGGGUAGCAAACAGG